AAAUAUUUUGUAGUUGUGGUUGUAACAAUUUGUCGCAUAGUGAAUAUUUUUCUUGGUUGUCGUUUGGCAACGGUCGUGGUUUUUCUCCACUUGGGGAGUUUUCCACGUUAAAUUAUCGUGUUAUUUAUUCUCUUUAAUUUCUCAGUUAUUAUUUUAUUUUCUCAUUUGUUCUUGCUUGAAGCCGGUCCGAAGGGUGGGAAAAUAGCGA
Molecule: long non-coding RNA, 208 nt
Filed under: Jatropha curcas
Lineage: Eukaryota; Viridiplantae; Streptophyta; Magnoliopsida; Malpighiales; Euphorbiaceae
Description: long non-coding RNA (JCUR_LNC002343)
Source: RNAcentral